UGACUGCGUACCUUUUGUAUAAUGGGUCAGCGACUUAUAUUCUGUAGCAAGGUUAACCGAAUAGGGGAGCCGAAGGGAAACCGAGUCUUAACUGGGCGUUAAGUUGCAGGGUAUAGACCCGAAACCCGGUGAUCUAGCCAUGGGCAGGUUGAAGGUUGGGUAACACUAACUGGAGGACCGAACCGACUAAUGUUGAAAAAUUAGCGGAUGACUUGUGGCUGGGGGUGAAAGGCCAAUCAAACCGGGAGAUAGCUGGUUCUCCCCGAAAGCUAUUUAGGUAGCGCCUCGUGAAUUCAUCUCCGGGGGUAGAGCACUGUUUCGGCAAGGGGGUCAUCCCGACUUACCAACCCGAUGCAAACUGCGAAUACCGGAGAAUGUUAUCACGGGAGACACACGGCGGGUGCUAACGUCCGUCGUGAAGAGGGAAACAACCCAGACCGCCAGCUAAGGUCCCAAAGUCAUGGUUAAGUGGGAAACGAUGUGGGAAGGCCCAGACAGCCAGGAUGUUGGCUUAGAAGCAGCCAUCAUUUAAAGAAAGCGUAAUAGCUCACUGGUCGAGUCGGCCUGCGCGGAAGAUGUAACGGGGCUAAACCAUGCACCGAAGCUGCGGCAGCGACACUAUGUGUUGUUGGGUAGGGGAGCGUUCUGUAAGCCUGUGAAGGUGGCCUGUGAGGGUUGCUGGAGGUAUCAGAAGUGCGAAUGCUGACAUAAGUAACGAUAAAGCGGGUGAAAAGCCCGCUCGCCGGAAGACCAAGGGUUCCUGUCCAACGUUAAUCGGGGCAGGGUGAGUCGACCCCUAAGGCGAGGCCGAAAGGCGUAGUCGAUGGGAAACAGGUUAAUAUUCCU
This 846-nucleotide ribosomal RNA is filed under the name Escherichia coli. Its description in RNAcentral is "partial 23S ribosomal RNA". It matches the Rfam family "Bacterial large subunit ribosomal RNA", at positions 594 to 1440 of the family's 2925-position model. The record is from RNAcentral. Lineage: Bacteria; Pseudomonadati; Pseudomonadota; Gammaproteobacteria; Enterobacterales; Enterobacteriaceae.